Molecule: ribosomal RNA, 253 nt
Filed under: uncultured bacterium
Lineage: Bacteria
Description: partial 16S ribosomal RNA
Rfam family: Bacterial small subunit ribosomal RNA
Source: RNAcentral
UACGGAGGGUGCAAGCGUUAUCCGGAUUCACUGGGUUUAAAGGGUGCGUAGGCGGGCAUGUAAGUCCGUGGUGAAAUCUCCGAGCUUAACUCGGAAACUGCCAUGGAUACUAUGUGUCUUGAAUGUUGUGGAGGCGAGCGGAAUAUGUCAUGUAGCGGUGAAAUGCUUAGAUAUGACAUAGAACACCAAUUGCGAAGGCAGCUCACUACACAAAUAUUGACGCUGAGGCACGAAAGCGUGGGGAUCAAACAGG